This 1231-nucleotide long non-coding RNA is filed under the name Setaria viridis. Its description in RNAcentral is "long non-coding RNA (SVIR_LNC010222)". The record is from RNAcentral. Lineage: Eukaryota; Viridiplantae; Streptophyta; Magnoliopsida; Poales; Poaceae.
UUUGAGAAAAAACAACGUUGUUGCGUGCACGAGUGUGUCCCAUGAGAUAACUAACUGAAGAUCGAUCUGACAAGUGACGGUUCACUCACGAAUGGUACACCGUUGCAUUGAUUCAUCAUCAGCUGACAUACGCAUCUGUGCUUAGUUUACAAUAAUUUUACAUCGUCGGGCACGUCCAGGCAGCUGCUAGCUGGUCUGGUCUGGUCUGAUCUGACGAGCUCACGAGCACAAAGCAAUACGCUGGCGCGUGCAACUACUACACGCCUACUCACGAGCAGAGGGCACAUCACUUGCCGGGGACGAAGUUGGUGGCGUACGCCCAUGCGUUGUUGGCGACGGGGUCGGCGACGUGGUCGAAGAGGUUCUCGAUGGGUCCCUUGCCGGUGACGAUGGCCUGCACGAAGAACCCGAACAUGGAGAACAUGGCGAGGCGGCCGUUCUUGAGCUCCUUCACCUUGAGCUCGGCGGCGGUGUCCGGGUCGUCGGCGAGGCCCAGCGGGUCGAAGGCGCCGCCGGGGUAGACCUUGUCGAGUCCCUCCCCGAGCGGGCCGCCGCCGACGCGGUAGCCCUCGACGAAGCCCAUGAGCACGACCUGGCAGGCCCAGAUGGCCAGGAUGCUCUGCGCGUGCACCAGGUUGGGGUUGCCCAGGUAGUCCAGCCCGCCCUCGGAGAAGAUCUGCGCGCCGGCCUUGAACCACACCGCCUCGCCGAACUUGACGCCGUUCUUGGCAAGGAUCUCCGGGAACACGCACCCCAGCGCGCCGAGCAUGGCCCACCGCGAGUGGAUCACCUCCAGCUCGCGGUUGCGCGCGAAGGUCUCCGGGUCGGCGGAGAGCCCCGCGGUGUCCCACCCGUAGUCGCCGGGGAACUCGCCGGUCAGGUACGACGGCGUCUGCUCCGAGAACGGGCCCAGGUACUUGGGGCGGUCAGGGCCGUACCUGCACGUACGUAGCUGAUGAUGCGUCGUCCAUGGAUCAAUCAUCAAGAGACAAAAGCAACUGACGAUGAGCAUGCACGUACCAGAUGCUCUGGGGAGCGCUCUUGACGGUGCGGCGCAUGGUGAUGCGGCCGCCGGCAUCGGCGGCGGCGGCGGGGCGGGAGACCAGGGCCUGGCCGAGGAAGCUGGUGGUCUGGUGGAGCGCCGACGCGGCCAUCUUCUGCGUGUCCGGUGAGCACGACGGCGCUGCUGCCUACUGGUCAGUCAGAUUGUUUUCGGCUGAUCGAGUGGUGG